ACUGACUGUUACUUCACAUGUAAAACAUAGAAGUUCCACAGCAGUAAUUUAGAGUCUGCAGAUGUGUUUAAUCUUACAACUCGUCUAUAGCAACAUGUAUUAUUGUUGAGCAUAAUUUAUUUCCAUCUAGAUGGAUUGCCAAACUGCAGCCAAAAGUUUCUCUCUUUCCUAGAGCAUUUUACCACACAAUUUCUAGCAUACAUCUCAAAUAAAAACAGUGCCUCGCUACUAAAUGUAUGGAACACUGUGUCUCUGCUGAUGACAGUAACUCUUCAUUGUAGGAAAUUAUGUGUUUUACUCAACAGGACUAAUGCAUUUUCCCAAUAAAAUAAAUGCUUUUUCAAAAGCUAAAAGUUAAGCUCUUAAAAAACAAAAAAAAAAGUUUUAGUGCAUGAUCUUGAAAAACAACCUAAAACAACUGUAUAAAACUGAGACGCAUGUUUACUUCAUGAAUAACAGUAACAGGCUUCUACUUUAACCUUAAUGGCUUUUAAUUGUGUAGAAGAAGGUUUAUAGUUUCUGUGCUUUUUACUUUAACUCUUUUUUGCACACAAAUUCAUUUUAAUGAGGAAAAUGUGAACAUAUGCGCUGUAUUUUGUCAUUUGCUUUAACCAUGCUUGCCACAUCACAACUAAUUUUUCUCUGAGAAGUUAUUUCUGGACAAACAAAUACGCAGUGUUUUUUUGUUUUUCUUUUUUUUUCUUUCAGCAUAUUUUCCACUGGCUUUACACUGGAAGCAGAAAUGAAAAUGGAACUCUCUAAAUCCCCUGCAGCUCCAUGCUGUUCCCUUGGGCCCUGGAGGAGCAGAGCUCAGCGCUGUUCCCAUUGCUCCCUGUGAGGAGCUGUAGGCCGCCAUGAGGCCUCUCCUCGGCCUCUUCUGCUCUGGGCUGAACAAACCACGGGAUCUCAGCCCCUACUCACACGUCUUGCCCUCCAGGCCCUUCUUCAUCUUUGUUGCCCCAGUUUGGAUACUAAUAGUUUUAUGUCUUUCCUAUAUUGUGGCACCCAAAACUGCACCCAGUGUCCGGGGUGAGGCUGCACCAGCGCUGUGCAGAAGCAAUCAGAGACAUGUCUGGAACAUGGAACAGUCAGGAAAUUCUGAGAGCUUCUUCUUGAUUUGUCGAAUCGCCCGAUACUUUUGUCUGCUUUCUUCUUCCAAAAAAAUGGAAUUAGAAAUUAGUGAGGCAUCACUCCUUUCACUCAAAGGCAUAUCUCCUUUCUACAUCCUAGCUGUGACCAAAGCAGCCAUCAGCUCUGAAAAAUGCUCUAAUUCAGACUAUGGAGAGGAC
RNAcentral lists this long non-coding RNA (1289 nucleotides) under Phasianus colchicus (ring-necked pheasant). Its description in RNAcentral is "lncRNA (ENSPCLG00000015741.1)". The record is from RNAcentral. Lineage: Eukaryota; Metazoa; Chordata; Aves; Galliformes; Phasianidae.